Mauremys reevesii (Reeves's turtle) is the source of this 232-nucleotide long non-coding RNA. RefSeq lists it as uncharacterized. The transcript has 3 exons. Lineage: Eukaryota; Metazoa; Chordata; Testudines; Geoemydidae. The record is from RefSeq and is a predicted model, not a curated record.
CUCAGAGAGCCCUCUAUAGGGAUGUCAUGCAGGAGAACUAUGAGACAGUGACCUUGCUGGGGUUUCCAGUUUCCAAACCUGAUGUGAUCUCGCAGCUGGAAUGAGGGGAACAGCCGUGGGUCUCAGACCUCUAUAGUUCUGAAAAAAAGUGCUCCCGAGAGCUGUGUGCACAGGGAGUGACCUAUGUCUGGAUUCUCUCUGUCUCCCAUCAGGUGAUGAGAUGGUGAGUGAG